This 250-nucleotide ribosomal RNA is filed under the name uncultured prokaryote. Its description in RNAcentral is "partial 16S ribosomal RNA". It matches the Rfam family "Bacterial small subunit ribosomal RNA", at positions 524 to 774 of the family's 1533-position model. The record is from RNAcentral.
UACGUAGGGGCAAGCGUUGUCCGGAAUUAUUGGGCGUAAAGCGCGCGCAGGCGGUCUCUUAAGUCUGAUGUGAAAUCUCGCAGCUUAACUGUGAGCGGUCAUUGGAAACUGAGGAACUUGAGGACAGGUGAGGAGAGUGGAAUUCCACGUGUAGCGGUGAAAUGCGUAGAGAUGUGGAGGAACACCAGUGGCGAAGUCGACUCUCUAGUCUGUAUCUGACGCUGAGGUGCAAAAGCGUGGGUAGCAAACA